This 497-nucleotide ribosomal RNA is filed under the name uncultured bacterium. Its description in RNAcentral is "partial 16S ribosomal RNA". It matches the Rfam family "Bacterial small subunit ribosomal RNA", at positions 28 to 507 of the family's 1533-position model. The record is from RNAcentral.
GAUGAACGCUGGCGGCGUGCCUAAUACAUGCAAGUCGAGCGAACAGAUGAGGAGCUUGCUCCUCUGACGUUAGCGGCGGACGGGUGAGUAACACGUGGAUAACCUACCUAUAAGACUGGGAUAACUUCGGGAAACCGGAGCUAAUACCGGAUAAUAUAUUGAACCGCAUGGUUCAAUAGUGAAAGACGGUUUUGCUGUCACUUAUAGAUGGAUCCGCGCCGCAUUAGCUAGUUGGUAAGGUAACGGCUUACCAAGGCAACGAUGCGUAGCCGACCUGAGAGGGUGAUCGGCCACACUGGAACGGAGACAAGGUCCAGACUCCUAAGGGAGGCAGCAGUAGGGAAUCUUCCGCAAUGGGCGAAAGCCUGACGGAGCAACGCCGCGUGAGUGAUGAAGGGCUUCGGAUCGUAAAACUCUGUUAUUAGGGAAGAACAAAUGUGUAAGUAACUAGGCACGUCUUGACGGUACCUAAUCAGAAAGCCACGGCUAACUACGUG